This 260-nucleotide ribosomal RNA is filed under the name uncultured archaeon. RNAcentral's name for it is "partial 16S ribosomal RNA". It matches the Rfam family "Archaeal small subunit ribosomal RNA", at positions 748 to 1008 of the family's 1478-position model. The record is from RNAcentral.
CAGCCGUAAACUAUGCGCGUUAGGUGUAUCGGUGACCACGAGUUACCGAGGUGCCGAAGGGAAACCGUGAAACGUGCCGCCUGGGAAGUACGGUCGCAAGGCUGAAACUUAAAGGAAUUGGCGGGGGAGCACCACAACAGGUGGAGCCUGCGGUUUAAUUGGACUCAACGCCGGAAGCUCACCGGAUAGGACAGCAGAAUGAUUGCCGGGCUGAAGACCCUGCAUGACUAGCUGAGAGGUGGUGCAUGGCGUCAGUGACU